AAGAUUUUAAGUUAAUAAAACUAAUAGCCUUCAAAGUUAUAAUUAAAAUAAAAAUUUUAAGUCUUA
Molecule: transfer RNA, 66 nt
Filed under: Viannamyia furcata
Lineage: Eukaryota; Metazoa; Arthropoda; Insecta; Diptera; Psychodidae
Description: tRNA-Trp
Source: RNAcentral